RNAcentral lists this non-coding RNA (22 nucleotides) under Arabidopsis thaliana (thale cress). Lineage: Eukaryota; Viridiplantae; Streptophyta; Magnoliopsida; Brassicales; Brassicaceae. The record is from RNAcentral.
UGUACCAAUGGAAGACCUGAUA